Molecule: ribosomal RNA, 1985 nt
Filed under: Escherichia coli
Lineage: Bacteria; Pseudomonadati; Pseudomonadota; Gammaproteobacteria; Enterobacterales; Enterobacteriaceae
Description: partial 23S ribosomal RNA
Rfam family: Bacterial large subunit ribosomal RNA
Source: RNAcentral
CUCGUGAAUUCAUCUCCGGGGGUAGAGCACUGUUUCGGCAAGGGGGUCAUCCCGACUUACCAACCCGAUGCAAACUGCGAAUACCGGAGAAUGUUAUCACGGGAGACACACGGCGGGUGCUAACGUCCGUCGUGAAGAGGGAAACAACCCAGACCGCCAGCUAAGGUCCCAAAGUCAUGGUUAAGUGGGAAACGAUGUGGGAAGGCCCAGACAGCCAGGAUGUUGGCUUAGAAGCAGCCAUCAUUUAAAGAAAGCGUAAUAGCUCACUGGUCGAGUCGGCCUGCGCGGAAGAUGUAACGGGGCUAAACCAUGCACCGAAGCUGCGGCAGCGACGCUGAUGCGUUGUUGGGUAGGGGAGCGUUCUGUAAGCCUGUGAAGGUGUGCUGUGAGGCAUGCUGGAGGUAUCAGAAGUGCGAAUGCUGACAUAAGUAACGAUAAAGCGGGUGAAAAGCCCGCUCGCCGGAAGACCAAGGGUUCCUGUCCAACGUUAAUCGGGGCAGGGUGAGUCGACCCCUAAGGCGAGGCCGAAAGGCGUAGUCGAUGGGAAACAGGUUAAUAUUCCUGUACUUGGUGUUACUGCGAAGGGGGGACGGAGAAGGCUAUGUUGGCCGGGCGACGGUUGUCCCGGUUUAAGCGUGUAGGCUGGUUUUCCAGGCAAAUCCGGAAAACUAAGGCUGAGGCGUGAUGACGAGGCACUACGGUGCUGAAGCAACAAAUGCCCUGCUUCCAGGAAAAGCCUCUAAGCAUCAGGUAACAUCAAAUCGUACCCCAAACCGACACAGGUGGUCAGGUAGAGAAUACCAAGGCGCUUGAGAGAACUCGGGUGAAGGAACUAGGCAAAAUGGUGCCGUAACUUCGGGAGAAGGCACGCUGAUAUGUAGGUGAAGUCCCUCGCGGAUGGAGCUGAAAUCAGUCGAAGAUACCAGCUGGCUGCAACUGUUUAUUAAAAACACAGCACUGUGCAAACACGAAAGUGGACGUAUACGGUGUGACGCCUGCCCGGUGCCGGAAGGUUAAUUGAUGGGGUCAGCGCAAGCGAAGCUCUUGAUCGAAGCCCCGGUAAACGGCGGCCGUAACUAUAACGGUCCUAAGGUAGCGAAAUUCCUUGUCGGGUAAGUUCCGACCUGCACGAAUGGCGUAAUGAUGGCCAGGCUGUCUCCACCCGAGACUCAGUGAAAUUGAACUCGCUGUGAAGAUGCAGUGUACCCGCGGCAAGACGGAAAGACCCCGUGAACCUUUACUAUAGCUUGACACUGAACAUUGAGCCUUGAUGUGUAGGAUAGGUGGGAGGCUUUGAAGUGUGGACGCCAGUCUGCAUGGAGCCGACCUUGAAAUACCACCCUUUAAUGUUUGAUGUUCUAACGUUGACCCGUAAUCCGGGUUGCGGACAGUGUCUGGUGGGUAGUUUGACUGGGGCGGUCUCCUCCUAAAGAGUAACGGAGGAGCACGAAGGUUGGCUAAUCCUGGUCGGACAUCAGGAGGUUAGUGCAAUGGCAUAAGCCAGCUUGACUGCGAGCGUGACGGCGCGAGCAGGUGCGAAAGCAGGUCAUAGUGAUCCGGUGGUUCUGAAUGGAAGGGCCAUCGCUCAACGGAUAAAAGGUACUCCGGGGAUAACAGGCUGAUACCGCCCAAGAGUUCAUAUCGACGGCGGUGUUUGGCACCUCGAUGUCGGCUCAUCACAUCCUGGGGCUGAAGUAGGUCCCAAGGGUAUGGCUGUUCGCCAUUUAAAGUGGUACGCGAGCUGGGUUUAGAACGUCGUGAGACAGUUCGGUCCCUAUCUGCCGUGGGCGCUGGAGAACUGAGGGGGGCUGCUCCUAGUACGAGAGGACCGGAGUGGACGCAUCACUGGUGUUCGGGUUGUCAUGCCAAUGGCACUGCCCGGUAGCUAAAUGCGGAAGAGAUAAGUGCUGAAAGCAUCUAAGCACGAAACUUGCCCCGAGAUGAGUUCUCCCUGACUCCUUGAGAGUCCUGAAGGAACGUUGAAG